This 887-nucleotide unclassified non-coding RNA is filed under the name Hevea brasiliensis (rubber tree). The record is from RNAcentral. Lineage: Eukaryota; Viridiplantae; Streptophyta; Magnoliopsida; Malpighiales; Euphorbiaceae.
AAGUCUGAAAAUUUUCCAUCGAUAGAUGUUGCUGUUGAAGAAAAAGGGAAGAAAGAAUCUGAUGUAUCAGAUGAAAUUUCUGAUUCUGAACUCAAAGAACCUAAAACCAGACAAUCCGCAAUUGAAGUGAAAACACCCAUAGUAUGUGAGGAGUUGGGAAUGACUGACAAGGAGGUAGCUCCACUUGAAGUUGAAACUCCAUUCAGAGAUUUGUCUGGUUCUUCUGGCAGAGACUUGGCAGUUGAAGAACAAGAAAAAGAGAAGUCUGCUGCAAGUAAAAAUGUUUCUAGCCCCGAGAAUGAAGAGCAUAAAUGUAUUCCAGGUGCAAGAGCUGCUGAUAAUGGGGCAGAAUCACAAUUGGUUGCUGAGAGGGACUCUGAGACAGUUCUGAACAAGGAAGUAUUUUCAGGCAAAGAAGAGAUCUCCAGUAUCAAGCUAGCUGGUGAUGAAGAUGUGCCAACUGCUAUAGAGUAUGGUGAUCAAGAACUGUCAUCUGCUACAGGGGCUGGUGAUGAUUAAACUAUGACCACUGCAAUUACUGAUGCUUGAUCUGGUGUUUCUCCUGUAUUUCAGGCAGGCAGUACGUGGAAUCAUGCAUCUUAUUUAAAAUUCACUUGUAAAGAGGUUGCAUUUUGACAAUCUUGGGAAGGGUAGGGACUUGUAUAAAUAGCAAUAGUUCCUCAAGGAUCUCAAGUAUUUCAUUCGGCUCUCGCAACCUAAGUUGUGCAUUAAUCUUUGUUGUCAACAAGGAUCUACUUAGCUUCUUUUGACUGUAUCAGAUGAUGGAUGAGCUGGAUUUUAGCUUGUAUUUAGCAAUAUAGAAAUCUGCAUCUUCCAAGCAGAUGGUUCAGGCAAAACAGAGAUUUAUAUAGCAAGGAAACUGGUUG